UGUAGGAGCUGGCUUGCCUGCGAUGCAUACGCCACGGUGUAUCAGUCACGCUGCGGUGAUGCUAUCGCAGGCAAGCCAGCUCCCACA
Molecule: unclassified non-coding RNA, 87 nt
Filed under: Pseudomonas brenneri
Lineage: Bacteria; Pseudomonadati; Pseudomonadota; Gammaproteobacteria; Pseudomonadales; Pseudomonadaceae
Source: RNAcentral